CUAGUUAUUCUAAUAUAUUGAUGUGCAAUCUUCAUUCGCGAAAAAAGAAGGAAACAAGAAAGAAUUAUCCACAUAGGAUUGAAAUUAAAUUGAUGGCACCACUGCCAAGUUGAUCAUGAUCCCAUCGGCAAUUCAAACGUACUAGAAGAAAUUGUAGCUAUCCAGUAGAAGUAGAAGUAUGAGUACUACGCCAUGUCCAGGAGUACUAGUGCUUUGUAGCACUAUGCCAUGUCCAAUUAUGUUUAUUUGUUAUAAUCAAGGGGCAGGGUUCGUACGGUCGUCUCGUUUUUGUCAUGAUAAGUAGUUCUUCCCCUUCAAAAACCAAAUCACGUACUGCAUGCUACAGGAAAUGCUUGCCAAGAUCUCAAAAGCAUUUUGAACCCAUGAGGCAUCGAGACACCAGUAUACUCAAGUAACAGAAGUUUUCAUCAUCAUCAUCUUCGUGGUAUAUACAAUCAGGAGGAAUUCAACAAGCAACCGGCAAGUCUCAGCCAUGCUUCCCCUUCCAAACCCGCUCUAUCCUACUACUAUUAGCUAGCUAUAGUAGACAGAGCUAUACUAAUUGGUGCUCCAGCAGCUGAUGUACAUGACCGUCCUCAACCCUCCUCGGCCUUCUCCGCUCUCUCUCUCCGUACGCCGCCGCGGAGCAGGCAGCUUCUUGCCCUGCGAGACGCCGGCGCGUUGGCCUUGGCCGCCUUGUGGANGGACCGCAGCGCGUAGUUCCAGCGGCAGAGUCCGCCCUGGUCCUUGAGCGCCUCCACUGCGCCCACGCUCAUCGCCACCAUCCAAGACGCCUUCGCUGCACCCGCCAUUGGAUCGAUCUCUUCUUUCUUGCUGAGAAUUGGACCGGAUUGUUUGUGAUUUCUUCUUUUGGUUUGCAGUGAACUAUUGUAUGCUGUGUUGAGGAUGAGGAGGAAGGAGAGGGGCGGGUUAUAUAGAGGAGGAGGGCAGGAGGCUGUGGAGAGGAGAAGGACGGGGUUGGGGCGAAACAGGAGGCGCCGCGCGUUGGUUUCCCAGUAUACCGGGUGCUCUGCUCUGCUUGAUUAGGCCGGAAUUCGCAUUCGUCCAGGUUCGGUGGCCCGAGUUGUCUCUGUUCGCGGUAUGGGAGAUGGUUGUCCGUUGCGAGGAGCCCACAUGGGCAGGAGUAACCGAUAAGGACGCGUGUCGCUGCAGAUCCACGCAGGGCCAGUCCUGUAUGGCCUAAUUUUGGGGUUUAUGAAACUUAGACGAUCAGCUGUGAGCUAUUUUUCCUCUCUCAGCAACAGGUAAAACUUCUUCAGAGUAAGGAACAAAGCAAUUCUUUCUGUACUGUACUCCUACCUAUCUCGCUCUCAAAGUUUCAGCAAAAUCUGCCAAAUCUACUACUCCCUCCGUUUCGAAAUGUUUGACACCGUUGACUUUUUAGCACAUGUUUGACCGUUCGUCUUAUUCAAAAAUUUUUGUGAAAUAUGUAAAAUUAUAUGCCNUACAUAAAAAUAUAUUUAACAAUGAAUCAAAUGAUAGAAAAAGAAUUAAUAAUUNCUUAAAUUUUUUGAAUAAGACGAACGGUCAACAUGUGCUAAAAAGUCAACGGCGUCAAACAUUUCGAAACGGAGGGAGUAUAAUAUGAUUCUGGAUCCUGUACUUGCAUUCUUUGGUGAGCGAGUAAACAAGUGAGCAUUUCUUUUCACGCACCAACUCGCAUCGCCCGACGACGUUUUCUUCGGGUGAUGGUGAGAGCGGAGUUGUGGGAGGCUGCUGGACAGGGGAAACCAGAGGCUGGAGCACAUGGUUUUCCAAGAUGUCAGGGGCUUAAUAAUUGCAUAAUACUUCUCGUUCCAGCUUAAUUUAUUGAUGCAUUGCAUUCUGGGUAUGCAAUAGACAGAAGACACCUGUGCUUUUCCGCACCAGUCUGAUGACUCUGAUCCAAUUCCUCCGACUCAAUAUCGUUUAGCACAAACUGGGAAAGAAACUGUAUUGUGAUUUUGCUACAUCAGUUUAAUUUGGUAAAAAAAAGAAUGGCAGAAAUUAGGAUUGGUUGAGUGGUAUAACGAAGGAAACAAGAAGGAAUUAUUCAGAUAGGAGUAUUCAUAGGACUGGAUAAAUUGAUGGCGCCACUGCCUGAUUUUCGUGCGUGGUAAUGUAUUGACAACCUGAUGACUGAUCUCUGAUCAUGAUCUCAUCAGCAAUUCAACUUUCAACGUGGAUGUUUAUUGUUGUAAUCAAAGUGCAGGGUUCAUACUGUCGUAUCAUUUUUGUCAAGAUAAAUACUAGUGGUUCUUCCCCGUCAAAAUCCAAAUCAUGUACAACCAUGAAAAAUGCCUGUCAAAAUCUCUCAAGGCAAAAGCAUUGAUAACCCAUGAGACAUCGAGACAUCAAGUAUACUCAAGUAACAGAAGUUUUCAUCAUCAUCAUCGUGGUAUAUACAACCCGGAGGAAAUUAACAAGCAACCGGCAAGUCUCAGCCAUGGUUGCCACUUCCAAGUUCCAACCUGACUCCUAUAGCAAAGCUAGUAGUAGAAGAGUAGAAGGCACAGCUAUACUAAUUGGUACUCCAGCAGCUGAUGUACAUGACCGUCCUCAACCCUUCCUCGGCCUUCUCCGCUCUCCUCCUCUCCGCCACCGCCGCCGCGGAGGCAGGCAGCUUCUUGCCCCGCGAGACGCCGGCGCGCGCGUUGGCCUUGGCGGCGCGGUGGAUGGACCGCAGCGCGUAGUUCCAGCGGCAGAGCCCCGCCUGGUCCUUGAGCGCCUCCACCGCGCCCACGCUCAUCGCCACCAUCCACGACGCCUUCGCUGCACCCGCCAUCGAUCGACGAUCUCUUCUUGAGCUUCCCGCUGUUAUACUGAUCGCUGAAUUCAGGGGACUAGUAGCGAGCAGUGAAGUACUACUGAUAGGUGAUUGGUGAUUGGUGCUAUGUUUGAUGAGAAUCUGGUGGGGAGUGGACGGUGGGAUUUAUACUUGAACGGGGGAGGGCGACGGGGUCAUUCAGUGGUGCGGGCUGAAUCAGGUGUCCGCGCGCGUUGGUUUUCCCAGAUACCGGGUGCGUCCCGGCUCAGUGGUGGCCCGCCUCGUCUCGUCUAGUCUCGUCUGCUGCAUCAUCGGCACAUCGCGGCGGGGAAGCGGUUUGUCCGUCGCGUCUCGCGUGGGGCGGGGUGCGGGCGGAAAUAAGAUAGGAACAACGUUACGUGACGAGGACUCGUGCCCCACACAACUGUUGCAACUUGCAACAUGGAGUAUGCAACUGGGCUAAUGGGCCUGGAAUUUGGGCCGACGAAGCUGAACGCAGGUAGAGGGCCGAGUCUCACGAAGAUAGAAUUUUUUUCAUUUUUAAUUUUUUUUCUUUUAAUAUUUACAGAAAUAAUCUAUUGGCGCAAAAAAUUACAAAAAUAGACCCUGCCGUCCUAAUGGAGGGCGGCAAGCUGACGUAGCAGACGGCGGCUCGACGGCGCCGUCUGCAAAAAAUUGCAUUUAGCCCCUAAAGUUUGGCUGGUACUUUUUGCAUCUGGACCCCUUGCCGCCCUACUAUAGGGCGGUAAGGGGCCCAGAUGCAAAAAGUACUAGGCCCGGGCUGGCUUUUUUGCAUGGGGCCCCUUGCCGCCCUAAUAGAGAACGGCAAGGGUUUUCGUGAAAAAAACCCUCCCUCCCCCGUCUGUCGUCACCGCCCGUCCCUCCCUCGUUUGCCACGUCAGCUUGCCGCUCUAGUGGAGGGCGGCAGGGUCUAUUUUUGUAAUUUUUUACGCUGAUGGAUUAUUUCUGUAAAUAUUAAAAGAAAAAAAUUUAAAAAUAAAAAAAAUUCCACGAAGAUAUACAAGUGCCCUAUUGUGUCAAGCUUUUCGAUGCACAUGUCACACUCCAGUAAUCACGCGGUCGACACGAGGGAAUAUCCGUGUGAUUUUGGCUGCGCUCCCGGCUGUCGGCCUGUACGGCUGUGUGAUCUCCGAUCCGGGUGCUGGAAAUGCAGCGUUCUGCUUGAGUCAUUUUCUGUGUGCUAUAGGCAAUUGCCAAUUGACAUGAGCUUACUUGGUUCACUUGAUUUCUUCGUGCCUUGCACGCCGCCACUGCGAAGGUAAUGGAUUUUUCAGAGACUCGGAGUAUUGCGUUGAUUGGUGGCUUAAAAGUUUUAACUAUCGUUUGGUUCGGGUCAGGUGCGUUAAUUUGUUUAGCUGGCUAUUGGUAAAGUCGGAUCUGUGACAGAAGCACAUGAGUUGCGACCAGACUGCAGCUCCUCAGAUGCUAAACAAGUGACUGCAUAAUAAAAAUCGUUGGGCUGGAUGAGUUUGUCAGCUGAGGAGCACAUUUUCCUUUCCCUCCUAAAGCUAGCUGUUCGAAGUCAAAGAUCAAAUGCUAGCAGAUUGAGUUGGUAUGGUAUAUGCCUUGGUCCAACACAGUAUGCAUGCUCAUAUGAACUUCACCUCUUUGAGGCAACUGUUUUUCCAAAAAAAUGAAUUUUUUAUUUGCAUGUAAACUUCGUCGAUGUUAGAGAAGCUAGCAAACACGCUUUCUCUUGUCCAUGCAGCAUAUACAAUCCACUCUCCCUUUUCUUAAAAAAAAAAACUUAGUGCAGUAUGCUCAAUUAGACAAUUGAGGGUGGUUUUUGUCCCUCGAAGAAUGGGCAUACACAAUACACUCAUUUUGUACAUACCAAUUAAAAAAAUCAUAUUUUUUAGAAAAAUAAUAAGAUAGAUUAAACUUGUAAUAUUUCACUUUACGGACAUGAAAAUUAAAAUUGUAUCCAUAGAAGUGUACAUAAAACAAAUCACGACUGUAAAUAUAGUAUACACUUUUGAUCGUUAUUGUUUCUAUUUAUAUAAGUCGAAGUCAUUUUUUUUUUAAAAAAAUUAAUGUUUGUGUCUUUGGGUGACGGUGAGCUAGAGCGGAGUUAUGGGAGCUGGUAGGGAAAACCGUUAGCUGGAGGACAUGGCUGUGUUCGGAGUCCAGUGAUGGAAGCCAAUCCCUCCCGUACGGAAAACGAAGCGGUCCUUUAGCGCGUGAUUAAUUAAGUAUUAGCUAAUUUUUUUAAAAAAAAAUGAAUUAAUUUGAUUUUUAAGCAACUUUCGUAUAGAAAACUUUUUAAAAAAAACGCAUCGUUUAGUAGUUUAAAAAACGUGCGCGCGGAAAAUGAGGAAGAUGGGUUGGGAACAUGGGGAUGCAAAGACAGCUGAUGUGGUAGAGUCCUUGGAUAGACCAUGUGAGGCCGGUUUGGCUGUUCAAUGGAGCAUCCUGUUUAGGUAGGACUUGGAUUUAGGGCCUGAUCGGAACUGCUAUCUGCUGCUGCCGCUAUGGCUGUGGCUGUUUUUCAGCUGCUGCCGCUGCAGCCAUUUUUAGCUCUUGCAGCCACAGUUGCUGCAGCAGCAAGCAGUAUCGAUCACACCCUUUAAUUCCAAAUGCUGUGCCGUACGACGGUACGAGGUACGAGCAGGUCAGCGGGUCACCAGUGUUGUGUGAAGCCAAGCUGUAUUCACUAGCUCGGGAUAGUUGGCACAAACGGCAUGAAAAUGUGGCGCCGUAAAUAAGUGAAAUACAGCUGCGUACUUUUUGAACACGCUGCAAACAUGAGACGGAGAAAUUUCAAUGCAAAACGGAAAAUAAAACUGCAAACAUGCGACGGAGAAAACUCAAUGCAAAACGAAAAAAAAAAUGGGAGCCUGUCAGAGAACCUGAGAGCCAUCCUGGCCAGGCGAGGCCCGGCAAGAAACGAUCCUCUACAGCCGUGGGAUCAAAUCAGCCAGUGAUCCGGCCGUUAAUCACGCUCUGGCCCACAGGUCAUGCGUCAUCAACCAAGCUUAAGUGCUUGCCUCCUUAUUAGUCAAGGAUGCAACGGUACGAGCCUAUAGAACAGAUCCCGUUCAAGUAAGGUCGUGCCACGGAUCAUCUGCACAACUCUUUUAAAUCAGCUUUGAUCUAUGUGGAUAGCCGAGGUGGUACUAAUACUAGUCUUUGUUGUCGUCCAAUUGCGUAAUGGGCCGGCCCAUACUGCAAUACAUGUCCUGAAAGGCUUCAUGGCCCACUACGAAAUGCUUUUCUCCUACAGUUUAUCUUACUUCUUCACAUCACGUGGUUUCCAACGUACCCAGUGUUCCCGGCUUCCAGCAUUUGCUGGUAGCACCAGUAGAAGACGCCUGUCUUGUGCUAUGGUCCCUGACUGCACAUCUGAUUCCUCCAAGAUCCAUGCAUGCCUGAUAACUUUAAGUUGCUUCAGAAGAACUUUAAGUGAUCUGUUCGUAUGUUUAAAGAUUCCUUGAUAAAAUAAGUUGCAGUUCUGAAAAUCCUAGAACUUGGAGACCUGGAUGAAUUACUGUCAUCUGAACCAAAUAAGAGAUGGCCUUAGCCACUAGCUAGAGAGACUGAAAUUCAGGGGCAACAAAUCCACGAGCCAACGUGAUCGCAAUUCACAUGGCAAAAAAACCACGGGGCAAUUUAGUAACAAGAAAUUUUCAUCAUCAUCUUGAUAUAUAUACACAUCAAGGAAGCAACCGGCCAAAUCUCAAGCCAUGGUUUGCUACUUCAGCUCUAGCUACGUACUAGUAUCUCGAGUUUAUACACUAAUUAGUACUCCAGCAGCUGAUGUACAUGACCGUCCUCAACCCCUCCUCGGCCUUCUCCGCUCUCCUCCUCUCCGCCACCGCCGCCGCGGAGGCAGGCAGCUUCUUGCCCUGCGAGACGCCGGCGGCGUUGGCCUUGGCUGCCUUGUGGAUGGACCGCAGCGCGUAGUUCCAGCGGCAGAGUCCGCCCUGGUCCUUGAGCGCCUCCACGGCGCCCACGCUCAUCGCCACCAUCCA
RNAcentral lists this long non-coding RNA (6759 nucleotides) under Oryza sativa (Asian cultivated rice). RNAcentral describes it as "long non-coding RNA (OSAT_LNC000864)". Lineage: Eukaryota; Viridiplantae; Streptophyta; Magnoliopsida; Poales; Poaceae. The record is from RNAcentral.